AUCUUCCACAAUGGGCGAAAGCCUGAUGGAGCAACGCCGCGUGAGUGAAGAAGGAUUUCGUUUCGUAAAACUCUGUUGUAAGGGAAGAACAAGUACAGUAGUAACUGGCUGUACCUUGACGGUACCUUAUUAGAAAGCCUCGGCUAACUACGUGCCAGCAGCCGCAGUAAUACUUAGGUGGCAAGAGUUGUCCGGAAUUAUUGGGCAUAAAGCGCGCGCAGGUGGUUUCUUACGUCUGAUGUGAAAGCCAACGGCUCAACCGUGGAGGGUCAUUGGAAACUGGGAGACUUGAGUGCAGAAGAGGAUAGUGGAAUUCCAAGUGUAGCGGUGAAAUGCGUAGAGAUUUGGAGGAACACCAGUGGCGAAGGCGACUAUCUGGUCUGUAACUGACACUGAGGCGCGAAAGCGUGGGGAGCAAACA
This 421-nucleotide ribosomal RNA is filed under the name uncultured bacterium. RNAcentral's name for it is "partial 16S ribosomal RNA". It matches the Rfam family "Bacterial small subunit ribosomal RNA", at positions 361 to 774 of the family's 1533-position model. The record is from RNAcentral.